This is a long non-coding RNA of Rhinichthys klamathensis goyatoka, 626 nucleotides long. RefSeq lists it as uncharacterized. The transcript has 3 exons. The record is from RefSeq and is a predicted model, not a curated record. Lineage: Eukaryota; Metazoa; Chordata; Actinopteri; Cypriniformes; Leuciscidae.
UGGUACAGUAAUGUCAAACUGACCUUGCUCUAAAAUGGCAUGGGCCCCUUAUGGGAGAGACGGGGUCGAGGGCGUCUCCUCCUCCAGCCAGAGGGUCUUUGGCUCCGGCCGGCUCGAGCGGUAUUCUGCCGUAAAGGAGUCCUCAUGCUGCCCACCUCCUCCAGCUCUUUGCUAUGCUCGGUGGAGGCCAUUGGACCUGUGGACAGAAAAGCUUGAGACUGCAGUCAUAACAGCUCUUGUAAGGGCGUCUCCACAAACAUGCAUAAUGGAGACCGGCAACGCAGCCACAUCAUAAGUCAAAGAAGAGGCGUGGAGUCCCAUGGGGGUGUAACCAUGGCUGACGGUGACGUCAGAGGCGUGAUCCCUAGUGUCUCAGAGGACAUUCAUUCAAUGAAAUAAGAGAGAGAGAUAUCUCCACACUUAGCUGCUUUUUUUCCCCGCCACACACGCAGGCAUGACAAUUUGAUGCCCGCUAAGACUAUCCUUUAGCUAGUCACACUUGAUCAUGAGCAUUAUGCUUAGAAUGAGACACGUUAAUUAGCAUGAAACCCCAGUCUGAAUCACUUGCCUAGCUCAUAAAUAAGACCCUGUUGCACUAAAUUUCCUAACAGUGUGCUAUUAUCUCA